AGAGUUUGAUCCUGGCUCAGGAUGAACGCUGGCGGCGUGGAUAAGGCAUGCAAGUCGAACGGAUCUUUUUUUGAAGAAGUUGAGAUUACAUCAAGAUGACGGAUUUUAAAGAUUAGUGGCAGACGAGGUAGUAACACGUGGGUACAUCCCCUCUAGUCGCGAAUAAUCCAUCGAAAGGUGGACUAAUACGCGAUGGUCUCGCGAGAGUAAAGAUUUAUCGCUAGAGGAAUGGCCUGCGGGGUAUCAGGUAGUUGGUAGGGUAAUGGCCUACCAAGCCGAUGACGCCUAGGGGAGCUGAGAGGCUGACCCCCACCGAUGGGACUGAGACACGGCCCAUACACCUACGGGUGGCUGCAGUCGAGAAUCUUCCACAAUGGACGAAAGUCUGAUGGAGCGACGCCGCGUGAUUGAUGAAGUCCUUCGGGACGUAAAGAUCUUUUAUGAGGGAAGAAGUUUAUUGACGGUACCUCAUGAAUAAGGGGCUCCUAAUCUCGUGCCAGCAGGAGCGGUAAUACGAGAGCCCCGAGCGUUAUCCGGAAUUAUUGGGCGUAAAGGGUGCGUAGGCGGUUGUGUUAGUCGAGUGUUAAAGGCCCGAGCUUAACUUGGGAAAUGCAUUCGAAACGGCACGACUUAGAAUGAAGAAGAGGUGUGCGGAACUCAUGGUGUAGGGGUGAAAUCCGUUGAUAUCAUGGGGAACACCAAAUGCGAAAGCAGCACACUGGUCUUUUAUUGACGCUGAGGCACGAAAGCGUGGGUAGCGAAUGGGGAUUAGAUACCCCAGUAGUCCACGCCCUAAACGAUGUUCUCUCGCUUUUCGGAGUAUCGACCCUCUGAGAGGCUUAGCUAACGCGAUAAGAGAACCGCCUGGGAAGUACGAUCGCAAGAUUAAAACUCAAAGGAAUUGACGG
RNAcentral lists this ribosomal RNA (908 nucleotides) under uncultured bacterium. Its description in RNAcentral is "bacterial SSU rRNA". It matches the Rfam family "Bacterial small subunit ribosomal RNA", at positions 8 to 916 of the family's 1533-position model. The record is from RNAcentral.